Molecule: ribosomal RNA, 497 nt
Filed under: uncultured bacterium
Lineage: Bacteria
Description: partial 16S ribosomal RNA
Rfam family: Bacterial small subunit ribosomal RNA
Source: RNAcentral
GAUGAACGCUGGCGGCGUGCCUAAUACAUGCAAGUCGAGCGAACAGACGAGGAGCUUGCUCCUCUGACGUUAGCCGCAGACGGGUGAGUAACACGUGGAUAACCUACCUAUAAGACUGGGAUAACUUCGGGAAACCGGAGCUAAUACCGGAUAAUAUAUUGAACCGCAUGGUUCAAUAGUGAAAGACGGUUUUGCUGUCACUUAUAGAUGGAUCCGCGCCGCAUUAGCUAGUUGGUAAGGUAACGGCUUACCAAGUCGACGAUGCGUAGCCGACCUGAGAGGGUGAUCGGCCACACUGGAACUGAGACACGGUCCAGACUCCUACGGGAGGCAGCAGUAGGGAAUCUUCCGCAAUGGGCGAAAGCCUGACGGAGCAACGCCGCGUGAGUGAUGAAGGUCUUCGGAUCGUAAAACUCUGUUAUUAGGGAAGAACAAAUGUGUAAGUAACUAUGCACGUCUUGACGGUACCUAAUCAGAAAGCCACGGCUAACUACGUG